ACCCGGGUGGCGGAACUGGCAGACGCAGGGGACUCAAAAUCCCCCGGCACGUGAGUGCCUUGCGGGUUCGAUUCCCGCCCCGGGUAC
RNAcentral lists this transfer RNA (87 nucleotides) under Gemmatimonadota bacterium. Its description in RNAcentral is "tRNA-Leu". It matches the Rfam family "tRNA". Rfam says of the family: Transfer RNA (tRNA) molecules are approximately 80 nucleotides in length. Their secondary structure includes four short double-helical elements and three loops (D, anti-codon, and T loops). Further hydrogen bonds mediate the characteristic L-shaped molecular structure. tRNAs have two regions of fundamental functional importance: the anti-codon, which is responsible for specific mRNA codon recognition, and the 3' end, to which the tRNAs corresponding amino acid is attached (by aminoacyl-tRNA synthetases). tRNAs cope with the degeneracy of the genetic code in two manners: having more than one tRNA (with a specific anti-codon) for a particular amino acid; and 'wobble' base-pairing, i.e. permitting non-standard base-pairing at the 3rd anti-codon position. The record is from RNAcentral. Lineage: Bacteria; Pseudomonadati; Gemmatimonadota.